CCCCUGGAUUUUCCUCGCCGGGAGCCGAAGUUAAAAAUUAUUCAAAGGAGAAAUUCCUGGCCUGUGAAGCGGAGGCUCCGACUGUACCAGGCAAAGAUUUCCACCAGCAUUCCCUCGCUCGGCCAAGGCCGAGAUAACAGAGCAGGAAGAAAUCCCCACUUCCCAGAUUCCAUCGGCAGCUCCCAUUCCCACCUCGUUUUUCCUCGUUUUUCUCCUUUUGGGAUGAGGAUUUGGCCUCUUCUCCUCGGUUUUUGCCGGAGUUUAAAGGACAAAGAGGACAGGGCACCACAAGUCCACCUCUGGUUUUGCCACCGGUCGCUCGGAGCCAAUUUCCCCGCGAAAUCCUCGCGCUCCAAGGUCGCCCUUUCCAGGACGCGGAAGAGGAAAACUCUCCUGGCUCCUCAUCCUUCCAAGCUUUUCCUUCCCCACCCGGAGGCUGAUCUGGCUUUGGGAGAAGCUCCUUGUGCUUCCAGCACUGAAGUUUUUCCCUGGGUUUCGUGCUGGUCCUGCGGGAGCUUCCAGGGAGCAGAAGGGAAGAUUUUAUUGGAAUGGAACUUUGGGACUUCCUUGUUCAUUUGUGUUAAAUCAGCCUUAACCUCCUGUUUCUCUUUUAGAUCUGGAUUAAACCAGGUUUAUCUUCAUGUUUCCAUUUUGGAUCUGGCUUAAAUCAGGUUUAACCUCACAUUUCCCUUUUAGAGCUGUCUUAACCCAGGCUUAAUUUCAUCUUUCUCUUUUGGAGCUGUAUUAAGUCAAGCCUUACCUCAUCUUUCUCCUCCAGACCUUUAUUAAAGUUUAACCUCCUGUUUCUCCUUUAAAUCUGUCUUAAACCAGGCUUAACCCCCUCUUUCCAUUCUAAAUGCGUAUUAAACCAGGUUUAACCUCCUCUUUCCCUUUUGGAUCUGUAUCAGAUUGAACCUCAUUUUCUAUUUUAGAUCUGUCUUAAAUCAGGUUUAUCUUUU
This 959-nucleotide long non-coding RNA is filed under the name Parus major (Great Tit). RNAcentral's name for it is "lncRNA (ENSPMJG00000014406.1)". The record is from RNAcentral. Lineage: Eukaryota; Metazoa; Chordata; Aves; Passeriformes; Paridae.